Bombyx mori (domestic silkworm) is the source of this 273-nucleotide long non-coding RNA. RefSeq lists it as uncharacterized. The record is from RefSeq and is a predicted model, not a curated record. NCBI's taxonomy places the organism in Eukaryota, Metazoa, Arthropoda, Insecta, Lepidoptera, Bombycidae. The transcript is spliced from 2 exons.
GAUCCCGUUGUUUUGGUCUCCGUCGGCGGUCUCCGUCCGUUCGAGGUCAGAACCUGGAUGAGGUGCCGCCAUUUCAUCCAUCUUGCGUCAAUUCUGUGCCUCACAGUACUGUUACAGACUCCCCGUUACGAUCCAGUUCACCGUCGCUUUGGAUAGCAGACCGGAGUAUCGGAAGUCUUGACAUACUGGCAAAAGUGCUCCAUCGAUAGCAAUGGGCGUAGAAUGUGAAAUUUUGAUAUCAGGAUAUAAAAAAAAAAAAACCCAAUAUUAAAA